This is a non-coding RNA of Cinara cedri, 244 nucleotides long. The record is from the annotation of a GenBank genome assembly. NCBI's taxonomy places the organism in Eukaryota, Metazoa, Arthropoda, Insecta, Hemiptera, Aphididae.
CUUGUAUUUUAUAAUAUCAGUUAUAAUAUUUUGACCGAUGUUGAAACAAAAUUAAUUGACUCAUGAACGUUUUAGUAAUGACAGCCGCAGCGAAUACAACUUACAACGAUCGAAAUUACGAUUUUGAUAUUUUUAACGGUCGAAAAUUAUGGUGACAAGUUCAAGUAUGAACGUACGUUGCAGUGGUUAUAAUAUAAUAGUGUAGUAGUCGUUUUACGUCAAACACCAAACUGGCAUAAAUACA